This 781-nucleotide long non-coding RNA is filed under the name Trifolium pratense (red clover). RNAcentral's name for it is "long non-coding RNA (TPRA_LNC002257)". The record is from RNAcentral. Lineage: Eukaryota; Viridiplantae; Streptophyta; Magnoliopsida; Fabales; Fabaceae.
UGAAACAAAUAUACCAAACAUAUAAUUUGUACAACAUAAAGUGAUCAAUAAAUUUUUAUAUGCUUCAAGCUUAGAAGAAAGAAGAUGGCAGAAAUUAUUAAGUUUAUUUAUUUAAUGGUCCUAUUUAUUUCAUUAUCUCUUAUUUUAACCAACUCUAUAGCCGGUAAAUAAUUUUUCUUAUUUAUUUGAACUUUCUUAUUUAAUUAUCUUAUACAAUAUCUUUCACCCCUUUCAAUAAUAUUUGUUUCUUCUUUUUUUAUAUCACAGUAUGGGAUAAAAACAUUUCGUGCAAGGAAAAUUCUGAUUGUUCAGGCUAUGUAUGUCUACCUUCUUAUGUUGCAAAAUGCUUGUCUUCUAGAUGUGAUUGUCGCCCAUUAAUUCAUUGCUAAGAGAUUGAUAUCUUAAUCUCUAGAGAUGCAGUUCAAAUCUCAACUAGAAUUGUUAUCAAAUGGUCAUUACAACAACCAUUAUUAUUAUUAUUAUUAUUAUUAUUAUUAUUAUUAUUAUUAUUAUUAUUAUUAUUAUUAUUAUUAUUAUUAUCUCCGGUCUUUAAUAUAAGAAAUAGUUCACUUUUUAGAUACAUUUAGAAAUUAAUGUACUUAAUCUAUGAUAUGGUCUAGAUACAAUAGUCUUUUAAUGUAUCUAGAAAGUGAAUUUUUUUCUUAUAUUAAGAAGUAAGAACUAGAGGGAAUAUUAAUUUUGCCUUUCCCAAUAAUUUAUUUUUAAAAAAUGUUAUUGUUGAUGACUGUAAUUAUAAUAGUUAAUUAAUUGUAUUUGCUUC